Molecule: long non-coding RNA, 262 nt
Organism: Coregonus clupeaformis (lake whitefish)
Lineage: Eukaryota; Metazoa; Chordata; Actinopteri; Salmoniformes; Salmonidae
Exons: 3
Source: RefSeq, a predicted model, not a curated record
CUGAGGAGGAGUCAAAGCACAUACAGAGGUGACCAAAAUCUCUAUGGGAAUGUCCAGCUCCCUCUGACAACUCCGGUGACUCAACCCCUGACCUCUGACCUAUUUGAAAAGCCUGCCGAGCCAGUCGCAGAGGUUAAGACCCUUCCUGAGCACCCUGAGAAAUAAACCCCUCCUGUUCUGGUGGUCCUGGAUGAGGGGGAAGAAGAUUUCUGAAUAUUCCAAAUAAAGGCAGUCCAAUUGACAAUCCCUACACCUAUGCCAA